GGUGGAGAAGGGACUGUCCGAAACACAUGAGCGGAGACAUGGCAGCAAAAAGAGCAAGAAAACAAUGACAUGGGGAGAAAAUGACCAGGAGAGGAAGGAGGAGAACCAUGAGAGUGUGCUGCAGGAGGAAGUGACCUCAGGAACCAACAUGUGCCCCAACACGUCAAACUGGCAAAGAUCAAGGAGGAUGUGGUAGGAGGAGCAAGAGUCACAAAGCAUGUGGCCGAGAGGGACACUGUAGGAUGGUGGAGACUGGGGGUGAUUUUUCAGGUAGAGAGAAAGGAGCCAGCAGAGAAGGCGGGAUUCAAGUUUCAAGUGAGUAGGAGACCAGCUGAUGAGGAAAAAAUAAUCCACAUCAUGGAGCCAGAACACAUAAAAUCUUUCAUGGCUCUUGAAAACAUCUUCAAAAAGGGUGCACCAAUUUCUACCCUCACCCAUAAUAGGGUGGUUCGCUGACCCUCGUCAACAUGUGUCACUUUAAAAAGAAACACCACUUGGGAAAGCUCAAUCCCUUCUGGUAGCUGGCAUAUUGGGACUGUGGACAGCAAUAACGAAAAUGGAGUGACAUAAGUCAAGGCUUCCCAAACGGAGCUGGGAGGCCAUUAAGAAGAUGGGGCUUAUACAAGCACACCACGUCUCUACACAGAUGAAAUGGGACUUUGAACUGGGCUUCACUGCUGUCAUCCUGACCUUCUUUGAAGAAAUAUGCCUACUCCCACAGAUAAGAACUUUCUGCCUUAAAGAUGGCCGUAGCAAGCAACCACAUAGAGCCGAGAAGUGACAGUUGUGACCAGCGCCCAUCACAAAUUUUGCAGAGCAACCUGUGUCCUUUUUGUGAAGGAGUGCGUGGAUGGAAAGAGACGUCUAGGAUGCAAGGUGCCUAAGGUCCUGAUAUUGUCACCAUAUCCCUGGAGAUCGCUCAACCCCGGAGCCCGUAAGACAGGUGAAGGGAAGUAAUCCAGCGCUGGCCCGUUCGUGGUAGUGGCUUUGGUUAAGAAGAAAUAAGUGGGAAGCAGGUGUCGCUGGAUCGGGGCCUUGGACAGGCAGUGCAUUGCCCAGAAGUGCCAC
RNAcentral lists this long non-coding RNA (1068 nucleotides) under Equus caballus (horse). RNAcentral describes it as "lncRNA (ENSECAG00000051992.1)". Lineage: Eukaryota; Metazoa; Chordata; Mammalia; Perissodactyla; Equidae. The record is from RNAcentral.